Molecule: unclassified non-coding RNA, 1062 nt
Filed under: Hevea brasiliensis (rubber tree)
Lineage: Eukaryota; Viridiplantae; Streptophyta; Magnoliopsida; Malpighiales; Euphorbiaceae
Source: RNAcentral
UGGGACCAUAAUGUUAGCAACAGCAUCAGCUAGACGUGCGUGGAUUGCAACCAAUAGCUCUGCUAGAGCCUCACUUGAAGCUGGAACAUAAUUUGUUACCAAGCUUGUGGCAUAAACAGAAUUUUUUGUUUCUUGGGUACUGAGCCUGUCCCAACAGUGGGCAAUUUCAUGAUGCAAAAUAGGAAUUGCAACCUUUUCUACUAGUUCUGGAACAAGAUUGCUAUCAGCAUCAUCAGGACUUAGAUCACUUCCAUCUUCUGGCAAACCAUAAUUAAACAGCAGGGAAUGCCAUUUCAUAUCAAAAAAAUCAGCAUCCUCAUGGAGAGGGUCCCAUUUUAGAAGUUCUAGUCUCACGUAGGGAGAGAAGAUGGCAGGUGCGCUUAGUGACAUGUAUGCAUCUCGAUAGCUUGUUGAAUAUUCUCUUUUCCACCUUUCAAACCUUUCUUUAACAACUGACAGUUGAGAAUAUUCUUCAGAAGCAUCACCAAAUAUUUGAUCUGCAGUCUGAAGCAACAAAUCACGGUUUGACUGGUAAGCUGCACUUUCACUGUCACUCUCAUCUGUGCUUGAUUCUCCCUCUAUUUUCUGAUCAGAACCAUCUACCUCCAUGGAAGACAAUCUCUUUGACUCAAAUCGAGCUUUCCUACGGUGACGGGCCUCAGCCCUCCUCUUCAUAUCCAUACGUUUCUGUUGGUUGAUGUCUCUACCAAAUUCAUCCAACUUCACAGGAAGAUUAGCUUGUUCUUUCAUGGUAGCUGAUGCAGCUUGGGCUGCACUUGUAGCAGCAGCAAUAAAUGAUGCACUACUGCCCCGUUCACUGAAAACCAACAUCGCUGCCUUUACAGCGGCUUCCACCUCCAUCAUUUCAUCGUCAUUAUCAGCAGUUCUUCGUUCUACAAUUGCAGAAGCACGCUGUUCAUGAAGCUUCUGCAUCUGUUCUUCCAAUUCCUCAAUGUAAGGAGCUUUAUGCUGCAGAAAUUCACAUAUAACAGAAACAAAGUCACGAAGCUUUUGCAUAAAGAUGAACUUCUCACCAGCGGCAGAUAGAGAUCUUUCAAGAGC